Molecule: long non-coding RNA, 372 nt
Organism: Pristis pectinata (smalltooth sawfish)
Lineage: Eukaryota; Metazoa; Chordata; Chondrichthyes; Rhinopristiformes; Pristidae
Exons: 3
Source: RefSeq, a predicted model, not a curated record
GUUGAAAGCACCUUGAAGGAGAAAAUAAAACAAAAAGGAUUGCCCAGGAUUGGAAUGCAAAAAAAAUCUGGAUGGGUUUUGCGACUGGAACAGGUUGCAGAGAUGGGAAGAAGUGAAAAUUUGAGAUUUCUAACAUUUGCAGAUUUUAGUUCUAUAGGGGAAUGAUGUUAUCCUCAACUUCCUCCUCUGAAAUUCAGCAACCUUCCAUCAGCCUUGUGGAACCAUAGAGAAAGCACUGUGCACGAGCACUAAGGCUGGUACCAAGGAGAUGAUCUAGAUGUUGCUGGUAUCACCAGCAUCUGCAAUUGUCCCCAAACUGAAGAAGUCAUCAAUCAUAUUGUUAAGUCUGGAGUCACAUUUAGUCCACACCAG